Molecule: long non-coding RNA, 2040 nt
Organism: Chinchilla lanigera (long-tailed chinchilla)
Lineage: Eukaryota; Metazoa; Chordata; Mammalia; Rodentia; Chinchillidae
Source: Ensembl
CCUCACUCUCCAUUCUGGACCCUGACGGUGAAUGGAGCAAGGGAGCUCGGCCGUACAGACGGAGAGGGCCUGAAGAAAGCGGAAACAGAAGACCAAAAAAAGCUGAUUGGUCAUUUUCGAGUUCCCUUCUGGCAAGGCAGAGAGACCGACGGGAAAAUCAUUGCUGAGUCCAUACAGGCGCUUUCAGACAGAACUCCGCCAGCCCUGCCCUGGGGUUGCUCCAGACCGGGAAGAGGAGAAAGCGUGUACAGCCCACGUGUCUUCAGAGGUCUACACCGGGCGUCCCUGCCGUGCUGGAAGACGGGCUCCCAGCUCCUGCCAACUCAGCCUCCAGCCAGCCUCUGUCUCCGCCUCCUGGGGAGGGCUGAGAGUGCGGCCAGGGACAGCAAGACACCUCCCUGGUCCGGCCUCGUCCUUGGCCACAACCCAAAAGCUCUGGAAAUACUGACCCUGCUCCGGCCCGCAGCUUCUGGGGCUCCCUGCUUCCUACUUCUCCAUUCCAAUGCGGGGUGCAGGGCGGGGGCCUUUGGCAGAGCCUGGGGGAGGAAGGAGGAAGCCAGGGCCCACGGAGGCAGAGAGGACACCUUGUUUUUGCACCGUGGGAGGAGGGGAUUUCUCGGCCCUGCUUCCUGGGAGCCGCCUGGAGGGGGGGAUUUGGCAAUCCUGCCCCUCUUCCCACCUGGCCUCCUGUCUCAUGGGGCUGCCUUCCCAGAGUCACACCAGCCAUCACAACGGGGCUUUGUGUCCCAGAGACAAAGAGCACACUCCUCACCUGUAGCCCGAGCCAGGGACCUGUCCGCGUCGCCCCAGCCCUGGACUCAGAAGGGACAGCGACUUCCUUCCCUGCAGGGGCAGCUGAGGGCUCCAGACAGACAGCUCUGCCUCGUGGGCGGGGCUGGAGGAGCACAGGGCCGGCGUGGAUGGGGAAGGAAGGAGCCGAGGCCCCUGGCACUGAGGGGCAGAGGAAGUGGCUGCCAGCUGGCUCUGAUCCUGCCGAGGGGAACCGAAUUCACGUAGCCCAGCAAGCGUGUUUUCAGUGUUCUGUGCCAAGCAGUGUGGGAGGCGCGGCAUGAAUCAGACAUUGUCCCUGACAUUUAGGAGAUAAGACGAGCGUGUAAAUCACCGCAGGACAAGGUGACGGUAGAGCAAGGUGGCGGAGCGGUGUGAAGGGGGCCGCUGAUGAUGCACCAAUUCUUUUUUCUUUUCUUUUCUUUUCUUUUCUUUUCUUUUCUUUUCUUUUCUUUUCUUUUCUUUUUCUUUUUGUCUUUUUGAGAUAGGGUCUCGCUAUGCAGUUCAGGCUGGACUUGAGCUCACUUUGUAGCCGAGGCUGGCCUCGAACUCACAACAAUCCUCCUGCCUCAGCGUCCCGAGUGCUGGGAUUACAGACAUGUGCCACCAUGCCCGGCGCACCAAUUGUUUUCUGAUUUCUUUUUCUUUUUCUUUUUUGGUGGUGGUAGGCAGGAUCUGUGUCACCCAGGAUGGCCCUAAAUGCCCAGGCUCAGGCAGUCCUCCUGCCUCAGCCUCCUAAGUAGCUGGCACAACUGCAAUCCGCCUCACUGGGGUUUAUUAUCUGAUUUUAAAGAAAGCACUUGGCACUGAGUCUUAGAAAACACCCAGCUCCCCUACCAUGCACCCCUACUUUAUUGUCUGCACAGCUCACCUUCCUCCCUGUUCCCCCAAGAGGACCUUAUUCAGCUGUGUGUCACUUUUGUCUUUCCCUCUCUGCUGACAGCACCAGAAGACCAGGCCUGGGCUGUCGCCUAACCAUGUCCCCACGGCCCAGGACAUAGUAGGUGCUCAAUACACACUAGCUAAAUAUCAACAUGUUAUAUAUACACAUAUCAUAUUGUAUGUAUCAAGAUCAUAUUGUACAUACGGUUGAACGGCUGUUUGACCCCUAUCGCUUAUGUUUUUCGGUGUUCUCCUGCUGUGAAAUAUUCUUUGAGGGCUAGAGAUGUUGCUCAGUAGCAGACAGCUUGCCUGGCACCGUACAGGUGCUGUUGAUCCCCAGCACUGCAAAAUAAAUAUUAAUAAAUAGAC